UCUAAAGUGACAGAUAAAUGUAAUGAAUUUAAGCUUCAUAAAUAAAGAAUUUAAUUCUUUCUUUAGAA
RNAcentral lists this transfer RNA (68 nucleotides) under Megalodontes quinquecinctus. RNAcentral's name for it is "tRNA-Leu". Lineage: Eukaryota; Metazoa; Arthropoda; Insecta; Hymenoptera; Megalodontesidae. The record is from RNAcentral.